Molecule: ribosomal RNA, 253 nt
Filed under: uncultured bacterium
Lineage: Bacteria
Description: partial 16S ribosomal RNA
Rfam family: Bacterial small subunit ribosomal RNA
Source: RNAcentral
UACGGGGGGGGCAAGCGUUGUUCGGAAUUACUGGGCGUAAAGAGCUUGUAGGCGGUUUGUCGCGUCUGCUGUGAAAUUUCGGGGCUCAACCCCGAACUUGCAGUGGGUACGGGCAGACUAGAGUGUGGUAGGGGAGACUGGAAUUCCUGGUGUAGCGGUGAAAUGCGCAGAUAUCAGGAGGAACACCGAUGGCGAAGGCAGGUCUCUGGGCCACUACUGACGCUGAGAAGCGAAAGCAUGGGGAGCGAACAGG